Molecule: ribosomal RNA, 454 nt
Filed under: uncultured Prevotella sp.
Lineage: Bacteria; Pseudomonadati; Bacteroidota; Bacteroidia; Bacteroidales; Prevotellaceae
Description: bacterial SSU rRNA
Rfam family: Bacterial small subunit ribosomal RNA
Source: RNAcentral
ACGGGAGGCAGCAGUGAGGAAUAUUGGUCAAUGGACGAGAGUCUGAACCAGCCAAGUAGCGUGCAGGAUGACGGCCCUAUGGGUUGUAAACUGCUUUUGUACGGGAAUAAAGUGACCUACGUGUAGGUUUUUGCAUGUACCGUAAGAAUAAGGACCGGCUAAUUCCGUGCCAGCAGCCGCGGUAAUACGGAAGGUCCGGGCGUUAUCCGGAUUUAUUGGGUUUAAAGGGAGCGCAGGCGGCCUUUUAAGCGUGUUGUGAAAUGUAGUGGCUCAACCUCUGCACUGCAGCGCGAACUGGAGGGCUUGAGUACGCGGGAAGUAGGCGGAAUUCGUCGUGUAGCGGUGAAAUGCUUAGAUAUGACGAAGAACUCCGAUUGCGAAGGCAGCCUACUGUAGCGUUACUGACGCUAAAGCUCGAAAGUGUGGGUAUCGAACAGGAUUAGAUACCCUGGUA